Molecule: ribosomal RNA, 194 nt
Filed under: uncultured endophytic bacterium
Lineage: Bacteria
Description: partial 16S ribosomal RNA
Rfam family: Bacterial small subunit ribosomal RNA
Source: RNAcentral
CCUACGGGAGGCAGCAGUGGGGAAUUUUGGACAAUGGGGGCAACCCUGAUCCAGCAAUGCCGCGUGAGUGAAGAAGGCCUUCGGGUUGUAAAGCUCUUUUGUCAGGGAAGAAACGGUAGUAGCGAAUAACUAUUACUAAUGACGGUACCUGAAGAAUAAGCACCGGCUAACUACGUGCCAGCAGCCGCGGUAAU